Astatotilapia calliptera (eastern happy) is the source of this 1276-nucleotide long non-coding RNA. Lineage: Eukaryota; Metazoa; Chordata; Actinopteri; Cichliformes; Cichlidae. The record is from Ensembl.
CACUACUCCAACUACUACAACUACUACUAGUACUCCAACUACUCCAACUACAACAACUACUACCAGUACUACAACUACUCCAACUACUACCAGUACUACAACUACUCCAACUACUACUACCAGUACUCCAACUACUCCAACUACAACAACUACUACCAGUACUACAACUACUCCAACUACUACUAGUACUACAACUACUCCAACUACUCCAACUACUACUACAACUACUCCAACUACAACAACUACCACGAGUACUCCAAUUACUACACCUACAUCAACUACACCCAGUAAACCAUCAUAUGUUACAGUUCUCAAAUUGAAGAUGACCUCUUUGGUGGACUUGUCUAAAAUUGAUAGAGAUACAUUCCUUACACAGAUAAAAAAUGCACUGAUAUCCAAAGGGCUGCCCCAACAGACGGUCAUCCGACUCAUAAACAACAAACUAGAGAUUGGUGCAACUGGCACAACAUAAACAUUUGACAGCUUCAAGAGCUUUUUCCUUUCAGCUGUUGAAUGAAGUUUUGUCUUCACUGUUCUUUAACACACAUUUUUAAUAAUUACAAUCACUUCUCAAGAGCAGCCUUUAAAAGCAACACAUUAGUCUGACUCUCCAGUGCUAUAAUCUGAAAUGAAUUAAUAUGUACUUUUGUUAGAUUGUGAAGAUUAAAUGUUAUUUUGCACUGAGUAUCCUUAGUCUAGCACAGAUACACUGAUUGAUUAUCCACAGUGACGGGAAUAACGGCGUUGCAAGUGACGGCGUUACUUUUUUCAGUAACAAGUAAUCUAACCAAUUACUAUUCCUAUCGUUACAACGCCAUUACUGUUACUAACAAGAAAAUGCAGUGCGGUCACGUUAGUAUUUUUCAACAGACGGUUGAAGCUGCGUUCAGCUUAACACACGGAAGUAGCUGUCUACGUAAAUAAUCAUGGCGCUACAGCUUUAAGCAGCUGCGCGCCUUGUGUAGUUAGUGUGUAGUGUUGUGGAUAGUUUUGUGUUGUGUGUCAAAACAAUGAGGUGACUGCUGUCUCCAGGUGUCAGGCUGUGAUGUUCUCCUUUAUAGUGGACAGAAAUAUUUGGAGUGGCACAAAUAAUUUGUGUGGCAUCUUAUUGAAUAAAGAACAGCUGAUUGUUCUGUAAAUAGUUUGAAAUGGUUAUUUUAAAAAAAGUGUAGAAAGUAAAUGGCUGCAAAUAACUUUAUUCUUUGCAAAACUUGUGCAUAUGAUUUUAAAAUUGACAAUUUACAUUUGCAUUUAAAGUUAUGAAAUAUGAUUCAAU